CCUACGGGCGACAGCAGUGGGGAAUAUUGCGCAAUGGGCGAAAGCCUGACGCAGCGACGCCGCGUGAGGGAUGAAGGUCUUCGGAUCGUAAACCUCUGUCAGCAGGGAAGAACGGUCACUGUGCUAAUCAGCAGUGAAUUGACGGUACCUGCAAAGGAAGCACCGGCUAACUCCGUGCCCGCAGCCGCGGUAAUACGGAGGGUGAGAGCGUUAAUCGGAAUUACUGGGCGUAAAGCGCUCGUUGGCGGUAUGUCAAGUCAAGGGUGAAAUCCCCGCGCUCAACGUGGGAACUGCCUUUGAAACUGGCAAACUGGAGUGUGUGAGAGGAUAGUGGAAUGCCAGGUGUAGGAGUGAAAUCCGUAGAUAUCUGGAGGAACAUCAGUGGCGAAGGCGACUAUCUGGCACAUAACUGACGCUGAGGAGCGAAAGCGUGGGUAGCAAACAGGAUUAGAUACCCUGGUAGUC
This 465-nucleotide ribosomal RNA is filed under the name uncultured bacterium. RNAcentral's name for it is "partial 16S ribosomal RNA". It matches the Rfam family "Bacterial small subunit ribosomal RNA", at positions 338 to 795 of the family's 1533-position model. The record is from RNAcentral.